RNAcentral lists this Y RNA (102 nucleotides) under Macaca mulatta (Rhesus monkey). RNAcentral's name for it is "Ro-associated Y5". It matches the Rfam family "Y RNA". Rfam says of the family: Y RNAs are components of the Ro ribonucleoprotein particle (Ro RNP), in association with Ro60 and La proteins. The record is from RNAcentral. Lineage: Eukaryota; Metazoa; Chordata; Mammalia; Primates; Cercopithecidae.
AGUUUGGUCCGAGUGCAGUGGUGUUUACAACUAAUUGAUCACAACCAGUUACAGAUUUCUUUGUUCCUUCUCCACUCCCACUGCUUCACUUGACCAGCCUUA